Molecule: ribosomal RNA, 525 nt
Filed under: uncultured bacterium
Lineage: Bacteria
Description: bacterial SSU rRNA
Rfam family: Bacterial small subunit ribosomal RNA
Source: RNAcentral
GGCUCAGGACGAACGCUGGCGGCGUGCCUAAUACAUGCAAGUCGAACGGUCUUUCUAUGGAAGCUUGCUUCCACUGAGAAGAUAGUGGCGAACGGGUGAGUAACACGUGGGUAACCUGCCCAUAAGAGGGGGGAUAACAUCCGGAAACGGGUGUUAAUACCGCAUAGUUUUCUUGACCGCAUGAUUGAGAAAGGAAAGACGGCCUUUGUGCUGUCGCUUAUGGAUGGACCCGCGGCGUAUUAGUUAGUUGGUGAGGUAACGGCUCACCAAGACGAUGAUACGUAGCCGACCUGAGAGGGUGAUCGGCCACAUUGGGACUGAGACACGGCCCAAACUCCUACGGGAGGCAGCAGUAGGGAAUCUUCCGCAAUGGACGAAAGUCUGACGGAGCAACGCCGCGUGAGUGAAAGAAGGUUUUCGGAUCGUAAAACUCUGUUGUCAGAGAAGAACAAGUUGGAGAGUAACUGCUCCAGCCUUGACGGUAUCUGACCAGAAAGCCACGGCUAACUACGUGCCAGCCGCCGC